This 495-nucleotide ribosomal RNA is filed under the name uncultured bacterium. RNAcentral's name for it is "partial 16S ribosomal RNA". The record is from RNAcentral.
GGAGUUAGCCGGUGCUUCUUCUGUGAGUGAUGUCCUUCCUGCCGGCUAUUAACCCGCAGGCCUUCUUCCUCACUGAAAGUGCUUUACAACCCGAAGGCCUUCUUCACACACGCGGCAUGGCUGGAUCAGGGUUGCCCCCAUUGUCCAAUAUUCCCCACUGCUGCCUCCCGUAGGAGUCUGGGCCGUGUCUCAGUCCCAGUGUGGCUGAUCAUCCUCUCAGACCAGCUACGGAUCGUCGCCUUGGUGAGCCGUUACCUCACCAACCAGCUAAUCCGACAUAGGCUCAUCCGAUAGCGCGAGGCCCGAAGGUCCCCCGCUUUCCCCCGUAGGGCGUAUGCGGUAUUAGCCUGGGUUUCCCCAGGUUAUCCCCCACUACCGGGCAGAUUCCUAUGCAUUACUCACCCGUCCGCCGCUCGCCACCAGGGAGCAAGCUCCCCGUGCUGCCGCUCGACUUGCAUGUGUUAGGCCUGCCGCCAGCGUUCAAUCUGAGCCAGU